This 258-nucleotide ribosomal RNA is filed under the name Malassezia globosa. RNAcentral describes it as "partial large subunit rRNA". It matches the Rfam family "Bacterial large subunit ribosomal RNA", at positions 2137 to 2419 of the family's 2925-position model. The record is from RNAcentral. Lineage: Eukaryota; Fungi; Basidiomycota; Malasseziomycetes; Malasseziales; Malasseziaceae.
UGUAGAAUACAAGGGAGUGAAAACAUCCGUGAAAUACCUUGAUAUAUUGAAAUGAAUGGCUUAUUUAUUAAAAGACAGUGUCAGAUGGUCAGUUUUACUGGGGCGGUAGCCUCUAAAAAAGUAUCAGAGGCCUUCAAAGGUAUAUUUAAAUUGGUCGGAAACCAAUGGAAUAAUAGUAUUCUAUCAAAAUGUAAUGAUAAAGUAUGCUUUACUGAAAGAUUGAUAAAUCGAUCAGUUACGCAAGUAGGAUAUAGUGAU